AGGACGAACGCUGGCGGCGUGCUUAACACAUGCAAGUCGAGCGGAAAGGCCCUUCGGGGUACGUCGAGCGGCGAACGGGUGAGUAACACGUGAGCAACCUGCCCUUAGCUCCGGGAUAGCUCCGGGAAACCGGAAUUAAUACCGGAUACGACCACGGCCGACAUCUGCUGUGGUGGAAAGGAUUCCGGCUAAGGAUGGGCUCGCGGCCUAUCAGCUAGUUGGUGGGGUAAUGGCCCACCAAGGGCGACGACGGGGUA
Molecule: ribosomal RNA, 257 nt
Filed under: uncultured bacterium
Lineage: Bacteria
Description: partial small subunit ribosomal RNA
Rfam family: Bacterial small subunit ribosomal RNA
Source: RNAcentral